AGAUUCGUGGCCAUCGGAAAGUUACAGCCUUCCGAAACCAUUAUCAGGAUGUCCAAAAUUAUGGGAAGAAGGAUGGUUAAAACAAGACCUUGAAGACGAUGCAAGAAAAGACUGGGAAUUCCAAAGUAAAUUCUCUUCCAAUUUUAAAAUGGAUGCUACUAUUAUUAGGAAAGAGUUUGUUGAAAGAACGUUUUGCACAAAAGUUGCCAACACUUUUGACACAGUGUGGAUUGCAUGGCCGAAAGGUAUGAAAUAUAAAUGAUAUGAAAGCAUAUAUAUAUAUUACACUACAGUCUUUGGAGUUCAUCAAUAUAUAUAAAUGUAUGCUGUUUGCCAUUUACGCAAAAAUCCUAUUAUACUUUAAAAAAUUCAUUAAUUAUUCACGAGGAAAAUACAAAAGAAAUGUUUAAUCAAUGUUUGUAAAUCGGAUAAAGAUUUGUCCUGAUUUACAUAAACUUCAGCUUUGAUUUUCUCGGCUAGCUUAGACAAUGUUUAUUUUUGAAAUUACUUCGCCAAUGAACUCAUAAGAUGGGUCAUUUUUUAAGUACGAUAAAACAUUCGCAUCCGAUCUGCAUCUGAUAUACAAACUCUCGCCUUCGGCUCGAGUUUGUAUAUCAGAUAUAGAUCGGCUGCUCAUGUUUUAUCUAGUACUUAAAAAACUCAUUAAUAAUUCAUGAGGAAAAUACAAAAGAAAUUAAUGUUUAAUAAUUUUUCAGUGUUUGUAAAUCGCAUAAAGAUUUGUCCUGGUUUACAUAUACUUCAGCUUUGAUUUUCUCGGCUUGAAAGAUAAAUAUAUAUAGUGACACCAACAGACUCACAGCGAACAUCAUAGAAGCCAAAUAUAUACUAUACUCUAUAGCCUCGAAAACCGAUUCCUAACCUUCAAGUUUAUUCCUUCAUUUUUCUCCUGGAAUUCCAAUAUUUAAUAUUUAUUUUAGUACGUAUUUUUAGCUUUGAGUAUUUUGUUUUAUGAUAAAAUAGUCGCUUACGAAAAACACUUAGCCUAUCAAAACACGAUUCUAGCUACGAGCCGACGACCAGGAAAUCUCUAUAUUUAUACCUAAUAAAUUAGUAGGCAUUACUGUUACAAAUGAUAAUGUUGUUGUCAUAUUUCAACACUGAUAUAUAGAGAGGCUGAGAUUUGACUUCCACUAGCGCUAUCGUUACCAUUAAGGACCAUGCAUUAACCAAUCAAAUGCGUUUAAUUUACUCAAUUAACCAAUCAGACGCACAUGCACUGAUAAGGCAAACUAAAAAGGCAAAUCUGAAACAUCAAAUUAAAAUAGCAUUGUUUCAAAAUGAUAACAACGUUCAUUGCUACAACAUAUAAUAAUAACAUGAUAACAUUAAUACAGCAACGAUAACAACGACCUUCGGUUAAAAUAUUAUAUCAACAUUGUUACGACGUGACAAAGUUAACAUGAGGUAAUUUUGUUACAGCAUGCAGUGUUGGAGCAUUGAUAACCAUAUGCACACGUAGUGUUAAUUACGGCAUGAUAACACUAUACAUUAAAAAAAUGUGAGAGAGAAUUGGCAAUUGUAAUUGAUAUAGACUAUUUUUUAUUUUAGGUUCUUACUGUAUUUACAGAAAACACGAGAGUUGCCCGCAGGACAUGGUAGGAGGUUCAAUAUUUUGGGAUGAUGAAGACAAUAGUAAUCUAAAUGAUAAAGGGGGUUCUUUGCCCGCUUUAGAUACUGGCUAUUUUGGUACAGAUACAAUAUUAUACUAUUGUUGUCAAAAUCAAGGAAAAUGGUAUACACCUAUUGAACUGCCAACGGAAAAGCCAUUCUAUUUAUUACCUUAUGAAUCGCGGAACUGCCAACGUGUGAAGUGGGCUAUCAGUUCACUCGAGUACAUCAUAUAUGACACUGAGGAUAACAACAAUUUUGAUCAAUUUAUUGGACACCAUGUCUUCACUGACAAAUUCAAAAGUUUACCGAAAAUAUUUUACUGCUACUAUAAAGGUAGGUUUUUAAAAAUUCAAUUUAUUGUUGGCAUAUUCCCUCAAUCAGACAAUAAGGAUUGGAACAUACUGAUCAUUACUUACAAACAGUGAAAACAAGGACCAGACAUGC
This is a non-coding RNA of Paramuricea clavata, 2076 nucleotides long. NCBI's taxonomy places the organism in Eukaryota, Metazoa, Cnidaria, Anthozoa, Malacalcyonacea, Plexauridae. The record is from the annotation of a GenBank genome assembly.